This is a non-coding RNA of Podarcis lilfordi (Lilford's wall lizard), 107 nucleotides long. The record is from the annotation of a GenBank genome assembly. NCBI's taxonomy places the organism in Eukaryota, Metazoa, Chordata, Lepidosauria, Squamata, Lacertidae.
UGCAUGCAGGGCAUACAGUAUACUUAAAUUGGAAUGGUACAGGGAAGAUCAGCAUGGCCUCUGCACAUGUAUUUGUUUAUCAUGCAAGGGAGCAUGAAGAAAUAGCU